AAUAGAUACCCGGGUAGUCCACGCCGUAAACGAUGAGUGCUAAGUGUUAGAGGGUUUCCGCCCUUUAGUGCUGCAGCAAACGCAUUAAGCACUCCGCCUGGGGAGUACGGUCGCAAGACUGAAACUCAAAGGAAUUGACGGGGGCCCGCACAAGCGGUGGAGCAUGUGGUUUAAUUCGAAGCAACGCGAAGAACCUUACCAGGUCUUGACAUCCUCUGACAACCCUAGAGAUAGGGCUUCCCCUUCGGGGGCAGAGUGACAGGUGGUGCAUGGUUGUCGUCAGCUCGUGUCGUGAGAUGUUGGGUUAAGUCCCGCAACGAGCGCAACCCUUGAUCUUAGUUGCCAGCAUUCAGUUGGGCACUCUAAGGUGACUGCCGGUGACAAACCGGAGGAAGGUGGGGAUGACGUCAAAUCAUCAUGCCCCUUAUGACCUGGGCUACACACGUGCUACAAUGGGCAGAACAAAGGGCAGCGAAGCCGCGAGGCUAAGCCAAUCCCACAAAUCUGUUCUCAGUUCGGAUCGC
Molecule: ribosomal RNA, 524 nt
Filed under: uncultured bacterium
Lineage: Bacteria
Description: bacterial SSU rRNA
Rfam family: Bacterial small subunit ribosomal RNA
Source: RNAcentral